CAGCCGCCGCGGGAAUACGGAGGGCGCGAGCGUUACCCGGAUUUACUGGGCGUAAAGGGCGUGUAGGCGGCCUGGGGCGUCCCAUGUGAAAGGCCACGGCUCAACCGUGGAGGAGCGUGGGAUACGCUCAGGCUAGAGGGUGGGAGAGGGUGGUGGAAUUCCCGGAGUAGCGGUGAAAUGCGCAGAUACCAGGAGGAACGCCGAUGGCGAAGGCAGCCACCUGGUCCACUUCUGACGCUGAGGCGCGAAAGCGUGGGGAGCAAACCGGAUUAGAUACCCCCGUAGUCCCUGUCUCUUAUAC
Molecule: ribosomal RNA, 301 nt
Filed under: uncultured bacterium
Lineage: Bacteria
Description: partial 16S ribosomal RNA
Rfam family: Bacterial small subunit ribosomal RNA
Source: RNAcentral